GGGUGCGAUCAUACCGGCACUAAUGCACCGGAUCCUAUCAGAACUCCGAAGUUAAACGUGCUUGGGCGAGAGUAGUACUAAGAUGGUUGACCUCUUGGGAAGUCCUCGUGUUGCACCCUAGG
RNAcentral lists this ribosomal RNA (122 nucleotides) under Ricinus communis (castor bean). Lineage: Eukaryota; Viridiplantae; Streptophyta; Magnoliopsida; Malpighiales; Euphorbiaceae. The record is from RNAcentral.